This 223-nucleotide long non-coding RNA is filed under the name Musa acuminata (dwarf banana). RNAcentral's name for it is "long non-coding RNA (MACU_LNC011453)". The record is from RNAcentral. Lineage: Eukaryota; Viridiplantae; Streptophyta; Magnoliopsida; Zingiberales; Musaceae.
GAACUUCUUCCGACGGACUCCCUGCAAGCUCCCAAUCUUUGUGAUGACUUUAACGAGUAGCCGAGCCUUCUCGGUGAUCUCCGCGAGCCUCCGACGAUUUCUUCGGCGAACUUCUGACACGUUCCCGAUUUCUUCUCGGUUGGUUCCGGCAGCAUCUCCGAUGAUUCUUCGGUCUCUUAAACGUCCAUCGAGCUCGACUCCGGUAUCCUUGCUUUAUGUUUUC